GAUGAACGCUGGCGGCGUGCCUAAUACAUGCAAGUCGAGCGAACGGACGAGAAGCUUGCUUCUCUGAUGUUAGCGGCGGACGGGUGAGUAACACGUGGUAACCUACCUAUAAGACUGGGAUAACUUUGGGAAACCGGAGCUAAUAACGGGAAAUAUUUUGAAACGCCUGGUUUCAAAGUGGAAGAAGGUUUUUCUGUUACCUAUUGAUGGAUCCGCGCUGCAUUAGCUAGUUGGUAAGGUAACGGCUUACCAAGGCAACGAUGCAUAGCCGACCUGAGAGGGUGAUCGGCCACACUGGAACUGAGACACGGUCCAGACUCCUACGGGAGGCAGCAGUAGGGAAUCUUCCGCAAUGGGCGAAAGCCUGACGGAGCAACGCCGCGUGAGUGAUGAAGGUCUUCGGAUCGUAAAACUCUGUUAUUAGGGAAGAACAUAUGUGUAAGUAACUGUGCACAUCUUGACGGUACCUAAUCAGAAAGCCACGGCUAACUACGUG
RNAcentral lists this ribosomal RNA (496 nucleotides) under uncultured bacterium. Its description in RNAcentral is "partial 16S ribosomal RNA". It matches the Rfam family "Bacterial small subunit ribosomal RNA", at positions 28 to 507 of the family's 1533-position model. The record is from RNAcentral.